RNAcentral lists this ribosomal RNA (230 nucleotides) under uncultured fungus. Its description in RNAcentral is "partial 18S ribosomal RNA". It matches the Rfam family "Eukaryotic small subunit ribosomal RNA", at positions 41 to 274 of the family's 1831-position model. The record is from RNAcentral. Lineage: Eukaryota; Fungi.
AGAUUAAGCCAUGCAUGUCUAAGUAUAAGCAACUUUAUACUGUGAAACUGCGAAUGGCUCAUUAAAUCAGUUAUAGUUUAUUUGAUGGUACUUUGCUACAUGGAUAACUGUGGUAAAUCUAGAGCUAAUACAUGCUUACAAGCCCCGACUUCUUGGAAGGGGUGUAUUUAUUAGAUAAAAACCAACCCUUCGGGUCCCUUGGUGAAUCAUAAUAACUUUUCUAAUCGCAU